UGAAAUUCUCUUGGUUGCUUGUGGCUAUCUGCCAGCUAAUUCUCUUAUCGUUCGCAUUUGCCGAAGAAUUAUUUGAGUGCACCAGCAAUGAUGUCCCCGUAAAGUGUGUACGCUCCUGCCAAAAGUUGUGCGUGGAUCAGCUGGUUAUGCGCAAAUGCAGAUUUGUUCAAUGCAAACGAGUGCCUGUGCCUGUGCCCCUGGCAUGGUGCGAAAGCGUGACAUUACAGGUUUCUGUAUACGUCGAAGGGAUUGCAAGCGCUGGAUCAUCUAGGUAGUCGUCGGGCAAUCGCAAUUCAAUAAAAAUAAAUGUUAAAUU
Drosophila subobscura is the source of this 316-nucleotide long non-coding RNA. RefSeq lists it as uncharacterized. The record is from RefSeq and is a predicted model, not a curated record. The transcript is spliced from 2 exons. NCBI's taxonomy places the organism in Eukaryota, Metazoa, Arthropoda, Insecta, Diptera, Drosophilidae.